Molecule: long non-coding RNA, 199 nt
Filed under: Hordeum vulgare
Lineage: Eukaryota; Viridiplantae; Streptophyta; Magnoliopsida; Poales; Poaceae
Description: long non-coding RNA (HVUL_LNC007962)
Source: RNAcentral
UUUUUUUGAUUUUUUUCAAAAUUUAUUUUUGAAUAAUUUUUGAUUUGUUUUUAUGUUUUAUUCCAAUUUUCAAAUCUUUGAAUUAUUUGACAGUUUAAUCUCUAAUUACUAUCCUCACUGGCGGUCACCCAUCCUCUCACUCCUUCAGCCCGAGCACGCUUAACUUUCUGGUUUUAUCGCCCCUAGUUACCAAAUCUGC